GGGGACGUGGCGAAAUUGGUAGACGCACUGGAUUUAGGUUCCAGCGCCGCAAGGUGUGAGAGUUCGAGUCUCUCCGUCCCC
Molecule: transfer RNA, 81 nt
Filed under: Acinetobacter johnsonii CIP 64.6
Lineage: Bacteria; Pseudomonadati; Pseudomonadota; Gammaproteobacteria; Moraxellales; Moraxellaceae
Description: tRNA-Leu
Rfam family: tRNA
About the family: Transfer RNA (tRNA) molecules are approximately 80 nucleotides in length. Their secondary structure includes four short double-helical elements and three loops (D, anti-codon, and T loops).
Source: RNAcentral